UGAAAAAUAUCUUCAAUGACAUGCCAUAUA
RNAcentral lists this non-coding RNA (30 nucleotides) under Mus musculus (house mouse). The record is from RNAcentral. Lineage: Eukaryota; Metazoa; Chordata; Mammalia; Rodentia; Muridae.